This 253-nucleotide ribosomal RNA is filed under the name uncultured bacterium. RNAcentral's name for it is "partial 16S ribosomal RNA". It matches the Rfam family "Bacterial small subunit ribosomal RNA", at positions 524 to 776 of the family's 1533-position model. The record is from RNAcentral.
UACGUAGGGUGCAAGCGUUGUCCGGAUUUAUUGGGCGUAAAGAGCUCGUAGGCGGUUUGUCGCGUCGGCUGUGAAAUCCCGAGGCUCAACCUCGGGCCUGCAGUCGAUACGGGCAAACUAGAGUGUGGUAGGGGAGACUGGAAUUCCUGGUGUAGCGGUGAAAUGCGCAGAUAUCAGGAGGAACACCGGCGGCGAAGGCGGGUCUCUGGGCCAUAACUGACGCUGAGGAGCGAAAGCGUGGGGAGCGAACAGG